This 352-nucleotide unclassified non-coding RNA is filed under the name uncultured fungus. RNAcentral describes it as "partial contains small subunit ribosomal RNA, internal transcribed spacer 1, and 5.8S ribosomal RNA". The stretch from base 1 to 73 matches the Rfam family "Eukaryotic small subunit ribosomal RNA", at positions 1759 to 1831 of the family's 1831-position model. The record is from RNAcentral. Lineage: Eukaryota; Fungi.
GCAAACUUGGUCAUUUAGAGGAAGUAAAAGUCGUAACAAGGUUUCCGUAGGUGAACCUGCGGAAGGAUCAUUAUUGAGCUUAUGGGAAAGUUUUCUUUCCAGCUUGUCCUUUUUUGGCGGCAAGCUUGGGAGGUAACUUUUCCUUCUCUCUUCACCCAUUUGCCAUUAUUUCUUAAGUUGCUUUGGCAGGUGAAAGGUCACUUUUCGGUCCUUUUGCCUGCCAAGGGAAACCUUUAAACCCUUUUUAUCCAAUAAUCGGGAUGACUUUUGUCUGAUUUAUUGUGACUUGGAAUAAGUUCAUAAAACUUUCAACAACGGAUCUCUUGGUUCUGGCAUCGAUGAAGAACGCAGC